CAAGUCGAACGCGAAAGUGGAGCAAUCCAUGAGUAGAGUGGCAAACGGGUGAGUAACACGUGGGUGACCUGCCUUCGAGUGGGGGAUAACGUCCCGAAAGGGACGCUAAUACCGCAUAACAUGCUGUCGUUUAAGAGAUGGACAUCAAAGCCGGGGACCGCAAGGCCUGGCGCUUGAAGAGGGGCCCGCGCCUGAUUAGCUAGUUGGUGGGGUAAUGGCUCACCAAGGCAACGAUCAGUAUCCGGCCUGAGAGGGCGGACGGACACACUGGGACUGAGACACGGCCCAGACUCCUACGGGAGGCAGCAGUGGGGAAUUGUUCGCAAUGGGCGCAAGCCUGACGACGCAACGCCGCGUGGAGGAUGAAGAUCUUCGGGUCGUAAACUCCUUUCGAUCGAGACGAACGGCCCUUGGGACAACACCCUGAGGGAGUGACGGUACCGAGAGAAGAAGCCCCGGCUAACUCCGUGCCAGCAGCCGCGGUAAUACGGGGGGGGCAAGCGUUGUUCGGAAUUACUGGGCGUAAAGGGCUCGUAGGCGGCCAACUAAGUCAUACGUGAAAUCCCUCGGCUUAACCGGGGAACUGCGUCUGAUACUGGAUGGCUUGAGUUCGGGAGAGGGAUGCGGAAUUCCAGGUGUAGCGGUGAAAUGCGUAGAUAUCUGGAGGAACACCGGUGGCGAAGGCGGCAUCCUGGACCGAUACUGACGCUGAUGAGCGAAAGCCAGGGGAGCAAACGGGAUUAGAUACCCCGGUAGUCCUGGCCCUAAACGAUGAAUGCUUGGUGUGGCGGGUAUCGAUCCCUGCCGUGCCGAAGCUAACGCAUUAAGCAUUCCGCCUGGGGA
This 843-nucleotide ribosomal RNA is filed under the name uncultured Acidobacteriota bacterium. RNAcentral's name for it is "bacterial SSU rRNA". It matches the Rfam family "Bacterial small subunit ribosomal RNA", at positions 58 to 879 of the family's 1533-position model. Lineage: Bacteria; Pseudomonadati; Acidobacteriota. The record is from RNAcentral.